UCUGGCUCUGACAGAAUUUAAGAGUAUGCUAUUUCUAAAUUUACUUUGGUUUUAAAGUUACAGUUAGUUCAUUUGUAUUUCUAAUUUUGAGAAUGCCAGUCUAUUCGCUUACACACACAGAGUGGAGACACACGUGUAAUGAAGUGAAUGGCGUCUGUGUGUAAGGCACUUGGCCUAUACCUGGAAAUCACCAUCUACCCAUGGUAUAAACUUAAAAAUGGCUCCACAACUUUAAUCCAUUUGUAAAAGAAAGAUGGAAACUUGGGGUAUUUUAUUUUCUCAUGAAGCACUAUGGAAAGCAGCAUGGUGUAGAUAUCAAAAGAAAUAAACCAAUGGAAAGUAGGGUCCUGCUUUACUGCUUAAAUUCUAACUUUCCUAGAGCUUCUAAGCAAGGCUUUAACAACGAACUAUUUUAAGCUACAAAGCAAGGAGAAGACAAGUUCAGCUGCUGUGAAACUGUGACCCAAGGUCUGCAUUAGGGUUCUGCUGCACAAACAUGAAACAGCUGGAUCCUGGAGGAACAGUGGGCUUUGAACCACUCAAGCCAUGCUCUCCUCUCCUCCCUAUCCUCAGCCUUGAAAACGAAGUCUUAAAGCCACAAUGGCAACUGAAGAGGACUCUUUUUCCAAAUGCAUACUACCUUGCCCUAAAGGAAGAUUCUCCCAGCCCACUGGUGGCCAGUGAGAUGUGAAUGGAGGGCAGCAUGGAUUUGAAAGUUACCAGCGACAACCUACAAGGAUGGGUCUCAAGAGAAGACAACAAAGGCAGAGCCAUAGUUAACCUCUGAUGGACAUAGAGCGUGAGCAAGAAAACUUUUGAUUUACUGUUUAAAAGGAUAUUUCACCAUAAAAUUCUAUUACUUUUCCUGACUGCUGGGGCUUGCCAGUCUUAGUGAGUGUUCUUGCCAUCCCCAUACAGAUAUUCAAAUGAAAUGCCUGGAAGAUUUCAUCUUCUCACUUUGUCCUGACUUGUUUAGUAAUUCUACCUACUUGAUAGUUCACAAAUUAUUUAUCACUAAUUUGACCUUAACUCAGGUUCUCUUUAUGUUCAGUCUUUCCCUUGCUUUAUGCCCCUUAAACAUUUUCAUCCACAUGAAACAGUCUGCCUUUCAAAGAGAUAGCCCAUUCUCAGGGAGGAUAAAGAGCAUGGUCAGGAACACCCCUUAUUAUACCAAACCAACCAGUCCCAAAUUUACAACCUCAAACACCUUAUCUAAUAUGUAUAUAUCAAGCCAGCAUUUCCCCUUUUCUAAAUCAUGGGGGCGGGGGGGGGGGUACCAUGCAACUAAGAAAUACCCCACUGCUCAAAGCCCACUGGCAUUAUCACAACUAGCCAAUCCCAACCGGGCAGUGGUGGCGAACACCUUUAAUCCCAGCACUCAGGAGGCAGAGCCAGGCAGAACUUUGUGAGUUCGAGGCCAGCCUCGUCUACAGAGCAAGAUCCAGGAAAGGUGCAAAGCUACACAGAGAAACCCUGUCUCAAAAAAAAAAAAAAAAACAACUAGCCAAUCCCAUUUGUCCUGCCUUGCCUUUCAUGGACCCUCUUCCAGCAAAGCUCUCAGUCUAGGCUUCCUUACAGCACAUGCUACUAUCUCACACCUGUCA
Peromyscus maniculatus bairdii (prairie deer mouse) is the source of this 1604-nucleotide non-coding RNA. Lineage: Eukaryota; Metazoa; Chordata; Mammalia; Rodentia; Cricetidae. The record is from RefSeq and is a predicted model, not a curated record.